GUUUACGUAUAUGAUUUGGGUCAAUACAGAGUCUUUUUCAACAAGAGAAAAAUUUAUAUAUGAGAAGCUGAGAAAAACUUUUAAUUUCCAGUUGUGACAGAGACAGACGUAAAAUGAGGGACGCUGUGAUUCUAGGCGUUUUCUGUGUUUUCAUGUUAUCUACCGUCAUCUCCAAGCCGGCAUCAGAUCAUACAGGUGUUGCAAAAGAAUCAUGCGGCUGCGAGCAUCACGCCACGCAUGCACACGGUAUGGGUCUCUGGGACGUGUGCACACCUCUCAGUCAGGAAGAGUGGGAGACAUGUCCAGCUUACAAGGACAGCGUGGUGGACAGUGACCUGCUUCAUAACAUACUGGACAUAAUCUUUAAGACAGAGGAUUAAUUGAUAUUGCGCAAGAUGGCCAACCGCUUGUAUUUAAAUCUGUGAAAUGAAGGUAAUCUGGUGUUGCACUCAAAUACAUGCGCAGUACAUGAACAUGAAAAUUAAGUCAAAACAUGCUUAAUUGGACUCGGAGAAUUGUUAUAUUUGUGAUACACCGCACUGGUGAAAUGUGAACUGGAUAGCUCCUCUGGAUGUGCUACUUUUCAAUCCCCAAAAACAUAAUUUAAUACAUAAAAUAAAAGCGGGGACUG
Molecule: long non-coding RNA, 631 nt
Filed under: Lingula anatina
Lineage: Eukaryota; Metazoa; Brachiopoda; Lingulata; Lingulida; Lingulidae
Description: uncharacterized LOC106172076, transcript variant X2
Source: RNAcentral